UAAUACAGAGGGUGCAAGCGUUGUUCGGAAUCACUGGGCGUAAAGCGCGCGCAGGCGGAUGGUUGCGUCCGGAGUGAAAUUUCGCCGCUCAACGGCGAAGCUGCUUUGGAUACGGACCGUCUAGGGACCGGUAGAGGCUGGUAGAAUUGCAGGUGUAGCGGUGGAAUGCGUAGAGAUCUGCAAGAAUACCCGUGGCGAAGGCGGCCAGCUGGGCCGGAUCCGACGCUGAGGCGCGAAAGCGUGGGGAGCAAACAGGAUUAGAUACCCUGGUAGUCCACGCCGUAAACGAUGGGCACUAGGUGCCGGGGGGAGCGACCCCCUCGGUGCCGCAGCUAACGCGAUAAGUGCCCCGCCUGGGGAGUACGGCCGCAAGGCUG
RNAcentral lists this ribosomal RNA (377 nucleotides) under uncultured bacterium. RNAcentral describes it as "bacterial SSU rRNA". It matches the Rfam family "Bacterial small subunit ribosomal RNA", at positions 521 to 896 of the family's 1533-position model. The record is from RNAcentral.